This 756-nucleotide ribosomal RNA is filed under the name Triticum aestivum (bread wheat). Its description in RNAcentral is "partial small subunit ribosomal RNA". Lineage: Eukaryota; Viridiplantae; Streptophyta; Magnoliopsida; Poales; Poaceae. The record is from RNAcentral.
AUGAACCUACAUGGGAAUGGACAGUUCUCAGUAGAUUCUAUGUAUAGAGCGUUAAUCCAGUCUGAUGUGCCAGUUGAUAAUAACAAGAAGAUCUGGAAGAUGAAGAUACCACUUAAGAAUAAAAUCUUCGCAUGGUAUCUUCGUCGUGGAGUCAUUCUUACUAAAUAUAACCUUAUUAAGAGGAAUUGACAUGGAAGUCCGCAAUGUGUCUUUUGUCACCAUGAUAAGACAAUAAAACAUUUAUUCUUUCAAUGCAAAUUGGCUCGUUCUAUAUGGUCAGUCAUCCAAAUAGCUUCUGGCUUGUAUCCUCCUUAUUGUGUUGCUAAUGUAUUUGGAAACUGGCUAAAUGGGAUUGAUCACAUGAUUAGAACCCUUCUCAGGGUGGGAGCGCUUGUCGUUAUUUGGUCACUUUGGCUCUGUAGAAAUGAUAAGGUUUUUAACGAUAAAAGUACUUCUCUUAUGCAGGUUAUCUACAGAUGUACCGGGACUCUUCGUUUAUGGUCCUCUCUACACCGUGUGGAGAAUCGAGACCUGUUUAUGGAGGUGUGUGCACGAUUGGAGGCUACAGCGAGGGAUACUUUUACCCAACAUGGGUGGAAGCAUGAUCUUAGGAUUGCCCCCCUCCGCUUUAGGCGUUAUACGAAUACUGCAUGCUUUCCUUGUAUUUCGCUUUUUUUUCAUUUGAAUGAGAGGAUAUUGUUUGGCUGUGUGCAUCUUAGCUAUGCAGAGGCCGGGUGUACUGCUUUAAUCUUUUAA